This 484-nucleotide ribosomal RNA is filed under the name uncultured bacterium. RNAcentral's name for it is "bacterial SSU rRNA". It matches the Rfam family "Bacterial small subunit ribosomal RNA", at positions 28 to 507 of the family's 1533-position model. The record is from RNAcentral.
GAUGAACGCUAGCGGGAGGCUUAACACAUGCAAGUCGAGGGGUAACAGGGGUAGCAAUACCUGCUGACGACCGGCGUACGGGUGAGUAACGCGUAUGCAACCUGCCCUAUACAGGAGGAUAGCCCGGAGAAAUUCGGAUUAAUACUCCAUGUAGCAUUUUUUUCGCAUGAAUUAGAUGUUAAAGAUUUAUCGGUAUAGGAUGGGCAUGCGUCCCAUUAGCUAGUUGGUGAGGUAACGGCUCACCAAGGCAUCGAUGGGUAUGGGGUCUUAAAGGAUGGUCCCACACACUGGCACUGAGACACGGGCCAGACUCCUACGGGAGGCAGCAGUGAGGAAUAUUGGUCAAUGGGUGCAAGCCUGAACCAGCCAUCCCGCGUGCAGGAUGACGGUCCUAGUGAUUGUAAACUGCUUUUCUAUGAGAUGAAUAAGAAUUACGUGUAGUUCGAUGACCGUAUUAUAGGAAUAAGCAUCGGCUAACUCCGUG